UGCACUUACACUGGCAUCAUGUCCAAAUUGCAGUAGGGAAAGAACAAUGAAAAUCCAUUUAAUCCUGAGCUCUCACAGUGGCUGGAAAUAAAACACCCUUGCUGUUGUUCAGUGGACUUCCUCUCACUCUCACAGUUUUCUAGUGGAAGGCUGUUAUCCCACCAAGGUGUUUGCAGGCGGUUGGGAUCGGUGGAAAGGCAGCCAAGGGGAAGAGGACUAUUGGAGUGAGAAUCAGCUGGACAUGUCCAUUUGAGCACCUGUGAGGUUUUUUUUUUCACGUGGAGAAUUGUGCUCUGCUGGGGAGAAACGACAGAGUCACCCAGAGAUUGAAGGCAGUGACUGAUGGUGAACUAGCAACAUUUUCUGAAACAUGCAGGCCAGCAAUAUCUGCUAAUCUGUGUUGUGAGAGAGGGGGAGGGAGAAGAAGAGAGGUUUUGGUACGUGUAAGUAGGAACACAUCUAUAACAACAUAUAUCAACCUUCUUAAAUGAUAACACACAGUCUGGUUUACACAGCCAAGCCAAUAUUUAAUGGAAAUGUAAAUGAACAUAAUUUGAAGUAUUGUUCCUGUCCAACAUCAUGUCUUUUAAGUCAGUAUGGAUUGGACACCUGAACUGAAGAAUGUUGUUAAGCCAAAGUGCUCAUUUAGUUUCAUCAUUAUGCAUACAGCUUUACUGACAGUAGAGAGAGGAGAUUGAGCAUGAUUUUCAUAAAGAUUUUAUAAUUAUAUUUUUCCUUUGAUCAUUUUUCUAUAUGAACUUCAUGCAGUUAUCUUGAUUAAGAAAUGGUAUGAAAGCUUAUAGCCUUUGUCUUUCCUAACCUACAAAAUACAUUAAUAAAGCAGACAUAAGAAUACUGUACACCUUAAUAUAAAAUAAAUAUUUGCAGGUCAUUUACAUUGACAGAAUCUUUGGAUAAAAUAAAAAGGAGGCAGAUGCUUGGCUUAUGGAGCUAAGAGUGUUAUCUUCACCCUUAUAUCUUCAUGGCAUAAGGUCCCAUGAUGGGUCAAGUGCACACAGACAAGUCCUUGGGUCCAUAGGAGUUCUGUUCACUCUUUCAGCUGCACCUGCAGAAUGAGGCCUGUGCUAAAUUCUGAAAAACGUGAAAGAGUAGGAAAAUACAAUAAACACCUCUUUUCUUUUAAUAUGGCAUCAUCAAUGCUUUUUGGUAGAGCUGACAUAGGCAUUAAGUAUCUGUAUAGAGCUGCACUCCAAGCAAUUUUAUUUCUUUGGUAUGUCUAGGACAAUGGUUAACAUUGUUAUGCUUGGAGUUAGUCAGAGAAGCAGCACAAUAAAGUUCUCUUUCUUGAGUAAAUUUUUGCUGACAACAUUUUGUUUCAUUUUUUGAUGGAGUUAGGAAAUGUGAACUGGACAGAUUUUCUGUUGGAAAAUGCUGAUUGAAACUGAAAUGCUUUUAGAAAUAUGCUAUAUUUUAUUAGUACAAUGUUGAUAUGUACAACACUGAUAUGUGCAAUCUUAAAAGGAAAAAAUAUGCUGUUAAAAAUUGAAUCUAUUCAAAUAUACUGUUUUCCAGAAAAAUCUCAGCUUUCUG
Molecule: non-coding RNA, 1551 nt
Organism: Pseudopodoces humilis (Tibetan ground-tit)
Lineage: Eukaryota; Metazoa; Chordata; Aves; Passeriformes; Paridae
Source: RefSeq, a predicted model, not a curated record